Molecule: ribosomal RNA, 379 nt
Filed under: uncultured cyanobacterium
Lineage: Bacteria; Bacillati; Cyanobacteriota
Description: bacterial SSU rRNA
Rfam family: Bacterial small subunit ribosomal RNA
Source: RNAcentral
GGCAACCCUGACGGAGCAACGCCGCGUGGGGGAGGAAGGUCUGUGGAUUGUAAACUCCUUUUCUCUAGGAAGAAGUUCUGACGGUAGCAGAGGAAUCAGCCUCGGCUAACUCCGUGCCAGCAGCCGCGGUAAUACGGAGGAGGCAAGCGUUAUCCGGAAUUAUUGGGCGUAAAGCGUCCGCAGGUGGCGAUUCAAGUCUGCUGUCAAAACACGGGGCUUAACUCCGUAAAGGCAGUGGAAACUGAAUAGCUAGAGUGCCGUAGGGGUAGAGGGAAUUCCCGGUGUAGCGGUGAAAUGCGUAGAGAUCGGGAAGAACAUCGGUGGCGAAAGCGCUCUACUGGACGGCAACUGACACUCAGGGACGAAAGCUAGGGGAGCG